Molecule: ribosomal RNA, 494 nt
Filed under: uncultured bacterium
Lineage: Bacteria
Description: partial 16S ribosomal RNA
Rfam family: Bacterial small subunit ribosomal RNA
Source: RNAcentral
GACGAACGCUGGCGGCGUGCUUAACACAUGCAAGUCGAACGGAAAGGCCUGCUUUCCCUUGUGGAUUGCGGGUACUCGAGUGGCGAACGGGUGAGUAACACGUGAGUGAUCUGCCCCCAACUUGGGUAUAAGCCUGGGAAACUGGGUCUAAUUCCCGAUAGGACUGCAGGGUGGUGCCUGUGGUGGAAAACGAUUUUCUAGUGGUUGGGGAUGAGCUCGCGGCCUAUCAGCUUGUUGGUGGGGUAAUGGCCUACCAAGGCGGCGACAGGUAGCCGGCCUGAGAGGGUGGACGGCCACAUUGGGACUGAGAUACGGCCCAGACUCCUACGGGAGGCAGCAGUGGGGAAUAUUGCACAAUGGGCGGAAGCCUGAUGCAGCGACGCCGCGUGGGGGAUGACGGCCUUCGGGUGGUAAACUCCUUUCGACCGCGAGGAAGCCACCUGGUUGGAAGGGUGGUGACGGUAGUGGUAGAAGAAGCACCGGCUAACUACGUG